Molecule: ribosomal RNA, 600 nt
Filed under: uncultured bacterium
Lineage: Bacteria
Description: bacterial SSU rRNA
Rfam family: Bacterial small subunit ribosomal RNA
Source: RNAcentral
CUGACGCUGAGGCACGAAAGCGUGGGUAUCAAACAGGAUUAGAUACCCUGGUAGUCCACGCAGUAAACGAUGAAUACUAGCUGUUGGCGAUAUAAUGUCAGUGGUAAAGCGAAAGUGUUAAGUAUUCCACCUGGGGAGUACGCCGGCAACGGUGAAACUCAAAGGAAUUGACGGGGGCCCGCACAAGCGGAGGAACAUGUGGUUUAAUUCGAUGAUACGCGAGGAACCUUACCCGGGCUUGAAAGUUAGUGACGGCGGAUGAAAGUCUGCUUCCCUUCGGGGCACGAAACUAGGUGCUGCAUGGUUGUCGUCAGCUCGUGCCGUGAGGUGUCGGCUUAAGUGCCAUAACGAGCGCAACCCUUGUUGUCAGUUACCAGCAAGUAACGUUGGGGACUCUGGCAAGACUGCUACUGUAAGGUAGAGGAAGGUGGGGAUGACGUCAAAUCAGCACGGCCCUUACGUCCGGGGCGACACACGUGUUACAAUGGGCGGUACAGAGGGUUGCUACCUGGCGACAGGAUGCUAAUCUCCAAAAGCCGUUCUCAGUUCGGAUCGGAGUCUGCAACUCGACUCCGUGAAGCUGGAUUCGCUAGUAAUCGC